UGUUGAAUUUUUUUUUUCUGUGCAGAAGCUUUUUUGUUUGGUAUAUUCACUUUUGUCUAUUUUUGCUUUUGUUGCCUGUUUUUUUUUUUUCCUGCUCCAGUCAAUGAAAGGGACACUUUAUUGAAGCUCCAGGGCCAUGGGUCCUGGGCAUGAGGCUGCCUUUAAAGGCAAGAAGAGCCAUAUUUGACCUUGUUUGGACACAGGUUGUUGAUGUGGCUACACUUCUUCUUGCCGCAGUUGACAGCAUGGGGAUACAGGGCAAUUCCCAGAAGACCUUGGAUUUGGAAUGACUUGGCAAUUAUUUGUAUAAGUUGGACAAAAAGAGAAGACUGAGGAGACUGGACAACAUAUAAAUGCAGGAGGAUGUUCAGUCUGGGAUGCCAGCAGACACGUGAUUUCAUAGAAAAAUCUUGAAAGUGAUUCCAUGGUCAGAAAUUUGAUUCUAUGGAUUUGCAUAAACUAUCUGUUUGGCUGGCCCAACUACUUGGAGAGUUUGCAGUAUAAAAACAGCACAAAAGGGUGGAGCGUGUCCACACUGGGCAAGAGAUUGACAAGCCCAUUUGUCACACCCAGGGGUUUAAUACUGAUGCAAAAGCUGUUGGUGAAUCAUGGAAUUGAGGGACCCCUUUGGGGAAACUUGUGGACAUGUGAGAAUGGAAGACAAUCACCCUGUGACACCACACUGACUUCACACCAUGUGAACCACAGCAGAGGUGGCAAGCACAACCUUGUGAUGCUGGAUGCAUAACUGAGUUACCACCUGAGGAUGCGCAUCUCUUGGGAACAUCAUCUUUCACUGCCACACUUCCUCACACCAUGCAGCCAAUCAAAGUGUUUCUCCCAACAAACACAGAGCCCUCAACCUGAGAAGAAUUCUGGUAAGUUUGUCUCCUUACAUUUCCCAUAAUGCUUUUAGUACCCCUUAUAACUAGUCCCUUGGAAAUGGCCUGAAUUAGAAGCAGGACCAGGGUGUCUCAAGUCAAAAUACAGUUUUCAGUCCUAGUUCUCUG
Molecule: long non-coding RNA, 1010 nt
Filed under: Callithrix jacchus (white-tufted-ear marmoset)
Lineage: Eukaryota; Metazoa; Chordata; Mammalia; Primates; Cebidae
Description: lncRNA (ENSCJAG00000070997.1)
Source: RNAcentral